GUGCUUACUUCUUCAGCACACAUCCUAAAACUGUACCAAUACAGAGAUUAGCAUGGCCCUGCACAAGAAUGACAUGCAAAUUUUGAAGUGUUCCCUACAUUA
Small nuclear RNA from Arvicola amphibius (Eurasian water vole), 102 nucleotides. Lineage: Eukaryota; Metazoa; Chordata; Mammalia; Rodentia; Cricetidae. The record is from RefSeq and is a predicted model, not a curated record.